GCCAGGCGUGGUGGCGCAUGCCUGUAAUCCCAGCUACUCGGGAGGCUGAUGCAGGAGAAUCGCUUGAACCCGGGAGGUGGAGGCUGCAGUGAGCUGAGAUUGUUCCACUGCACUCCAGCCUGGGCAACAGAGCGAGACUCCGCCUCAG
Molecule: non-coding RNA, 148 nt
Filed under: Nomascus leucogenys (northern white-cheeked gibbon)
Lineage: Eukaryota; Metazoa; Chordata; Mammalia; Primates; Hylobatidae
Source: Rfam by way of RNAcentral